GUUUGAUCCUGGCUCAGAACGAACGUUAGCGGCGCGCCUAACACAUGCAAGUCGAGCGAGAAAGGGGCAACCCCGGUAAAGCGGCGCACGGGUGAGUAACACGUAGGUAAUCUACCCUCGGGUGGAGGAUAACUUUCCGAAAGGAAGGCUAAUACUGCAUGAGACCACGAUUCCGGAAGGGAUUGAGGUCAAAGCCGGCCACUGUACACAAGCUGGCGCCUGAGGAUGAGCCUGCGGCCCAUCAGCUAGUUGGUAGGGUAAUGGCCUACCAAGGCGAAGACGGGUAGCUGGUCUGAGAGGAUGAUCAGCCACACUGGAACUGAGACACGGUCCAGACUCCUACGGGAGGCAGCAGUGGGGGAAUCUUGCGCAAUGGGCGAAAGCCUGACGCAGCGACGCCGCGUGAGUGAUGAAGGCCU
RNAcentral lists this ribosomal RNA (419 nucleotides) under uncultured bacterium. Its description in RNAcentral is "bacterial SSU rRNA". It matches the Rfam family "Bacterial small subunit ribosomal RNA", at positions 11 to 417 of the family's 1533-position model. The record is from RNAcentral.